Molecule: ribosomal RNA, 253 nt
Filed under: uncultured bacterium
Lineage: Bacteria
Description: partial 16S ribosomal RNA
Rfam family: Bacterial small subunit ribosomal RNA
Source: RNAcentral
UACGAAGGGGGCUAGCGUUGUUCGGAAUUACUGGGCGUAAAGCGCGCGCAGGCGGUUCUUCAAGUCAGUGGUGAAAGCCCGGAGCUCAACUCCGGAAUUGCCUUUAAAACUGCAUCGCUAGAAUUGUGGAGAGGUAAGUGGAGUUCCGAGUGUAGAGGUGAAAUUCGUAGAUAUUCGGAAGAACACCAGUGGCGAAGGCGACUUACUGGACACAUAUUGACGCUGAGGUGCGAAAGCGUGGGGAGCAAACAGG